CUCCAAUGAUGACCUCACAUUUGUGCCACGUGUCUGGGCCACUGAUCCAAGUGAUGGGAUUGAGGGACUGAGGAG
RNAcentral lists this small nucleolar RNA (75 nucleotides) under Amphilophus citrinellus (Midas cichlid). Its description in RNAcentral is "Small nucleolar RNA SNORD66 (ENSACIG00000021018.1)". It matches the Rfam family "Small nucleolar RNA SNORD66". Rfam says of the family: snoRNA HBII-142 is part of the C/D family of snoRNAs. Lineage: Eukaryota; Metazoa; Chordata; Actinopteri; Cichliformes; Cichlidae. The record is from RNAcentral.